GAAUGUGUGGUUUGGGGUAAAGUAGGUAGAAUGUGUGGUUUGUGGUAAAGUAGGUAGAAUGUGUGGUUUGGGGUAAAGUAGGUAGAAUGUGUGGUUUGGGGUAAAGUAGGUAGAAUGUGUGGUUUGUGGUAAAGUAGGAAGAAUGUGUGGUUUGGGGUAAAGAAGGUAGAAUGUGUGGUUUGUGGUAAAGAAGGUAGAAUGUGUGGUUUGGGGUAAAGAAGGUAGAAUGUGUGGUUUGUGGUAAAGAAGGUAGAAUGUGUGGUUUGUGGUAAAGUAGGUAGAAUGUGUGGUUUGUGGUAAAGUAGGUAGAAUGUGUGUUUGUGGUAAAGUAGGUAGAAUGUGUGGUUUGGGUAAAGUAGGUAGAAUGUGUGGUUUGGGUAAAAAUGGUAGAAUGUGUGGUUUGCGGUAAAGAAGGUAGAAUGUGUGCUUUGGGUAAAAAUGGUAGAAUGUGUGGUUUGUGGUAAAGUAGGUAGAAUCUGUGGUUUGGGGUAAAGUACGUAGAAUGUGUGGUUUGGGGUAAAGUACGUAGAAUGUGUGGUUUGGGGUAAAGUAGGUAGAAUGUGUGGUUUGUGGUAAAGAAGGUAGAAUGUGUGGUUUGGGGUAAAGAAGGUAGAAUGUGUGGUUUGGGGUAAAGAAGGUAGAAUGUGUGGUUUGGGGUAAAGAAGGUAGAAUGUGUGGUUUGGGGUAAAGUAGAUAGAAUGUGUGGUUUGGGGUAAAGUAGGUAGAAUGUGUGGUUUGGGGUAAAGAAGGUAGAAUGUGUGGUCUGGGUAAAGUAGGUAGAAUGUGUGGUUUGGGGUAAAGAAGGUAGAAUGUGUGGUCUGGGUAAAGUAGGUAGAAUGUGUGGUUUGGGGUAAAGUAGGUAGAAUGUGUGGUUUGUGGUAAAGUAGGUAGAAUGUGUGGUUUGGGGUAAAGUAGGUAGAAUGUGUGGUUUGUGGUAAAGUAGGUAGAAUGUGUGGUUUGGGGUAAAGUAGGUAGAAUGUGUGGUUUAGGGUAAAGUAGGUAGAAUGUGUGGUUUGGGUUAAAGUAGGUGAAUGUGUGGUUUGGGUUAAAGUAGGUUGAAUGUGUGGUUUGUGGUAAAGAAGGUAGAAUGUGUGGUUUGGGGUAAAGUAGGUAGAAUGUGUGGUUUGGGUUAAAGUAGGUAGAAUACGUGGUUUGGGGUAAAGAAGGUAGAAUGUGUGGUUUGGGGUAAAGAAGGUAGAAUGUGUGGUUUGUGGUAAAGAAGGUAGAAUGUGUGGUUUAGGGUAAAGAAGGUAGAAUGUGUGGUUUGGGGUAAAGAAGGUAGAAUGUGUGGUUUGUGGUAAAGAAGGUAGAAUGUGUGGUUUUGGGUAAAGAAGGUAGAAUGUGUGGUUUGUGGUAAAGUAGGUAGAAUGUGUGGUUUGGGGUAAAGAAGGUAGAAUGUGUGGUUUGUGGUAAAGAAGGUAGAAUGUGUGGUUUUGGGUAAAGAAGGUAGAAUGUGUGGUUUGUGGUAAAGUAGGUAGAAUGUGUGGUUUUGGGUAAAGAAGGUAGAAUGUGUGGUUUGUGGUAAAGUAGGUAGAAUGUGUGGUUUGGGGUAAAGAAGGUAGAAUGUGUGGUUUGUGGUAAAGUAGGUAGAAUGUGUGGUUUGUGGUAAAGAAGGUAGAAUGCGUGGUUUGGGGUAAAGUAG
This 1642-nucleotide long non-coding RNA is filed under the name Salmo salar (Atlantic salmon). Its description in RNAcentral is "lncRNA (ENSSSAG00000089639.1)". Lineage: Eukaryota; Metazoa; Chordata; Actinopteri; Salmoniformes; Salmonidae. The record is from RNAcentral.